GGUGUGCUAACACCGAAUACGAUACCAUGGCACAUGCUGUGGCAUGAAAGGCGGGGAUCUCUUCGGAGACCUGUCACCGGUGGAGGGGUCUAUGGCCUAUCAGCUUGUUGGUGAGGUAACGGCUCACCAAGGCUUACGGGUACGGGGCCUGAGAGGGUGUUCCCGAACACUGGGACUGAGACACUGCCCAGACUCCUACGGGAGGCUGCAGUCGAGAAUCAUUCGCAAUGGGCGAAAGCCUGACGAUGCGACGCCGCGUGUGGGAUGGAGGCCUUCGGGUUGUAAACCACUGUCACAGAGGAAGAAACACAUAGAUGUUAAUACCAUCUAUGUUUGACGUUACUCUGAGAGGAAGCCACGGCUAACUCCGUGCCAGCAGCCGCGGUAAUACGGAGGUGGCAAGCGUUGUUCGGAAUUACUGGGCGUAAAGGGUGCGUAGGCGGUUGGUCAUGUCCGAUGUGAAAUCCCCCGGCUCACCCGGGGAACUGCAUUGGAAACUGGCUGGCUGGAGUGCAGAAGAGGAGAGCGGAAUUUCCGGUGUAGCGGUGAAAUGCGUAGAUAUCGGAAGGAACGCCAAUGGCGAAAGCAGCUCUCUGGUCUGUUACUGACGCUGAGGCACGAAAGCUAGGGUAGCAAACGGGCUUAGAUACCCCGGUAGUCCUAGCCAUAAACGAUGGGUACUACGUAGUGGGGCCUCUGACGGUCUCACUGCCGGAGCUAACGUAUUAAGUACCCCGCCUGGGGACUACGGCCGCAAGGCUAAAACUCAAGGUAAUUGACGGGGGCUCACACAAGCGGUGGAGCAUGUUGCGUAAUCGUCAACGCGAAGAACCUUACCUGGGCUUGACAUGUACGGAUUAGGUCGGUGAAAGUCGACUGACACCCUUGCGGUGGAACGUACACAGGUGUUGCAUGGCUGUCGUCAGCUCGUGCCGUGAGGUGUCGGGUUAAGUCCCUCAACGAGCGAAACCCCUGUCCUUAGUUGCCAGCGAGUAAUGUUGGGGACUCUAGGGAGACUGCCAGUGUUAAACUGGAGGAAGGUGGGGAUGACGUCAAGUCAUCAUGGCCCUUACGCCCAGGGCUGCAAACGUGCUACAAUGGUCGGCACAGAGGGAUGCGAUACUGUGAAGUGGAGCAAAUCUCACAAAGCCGGCCUCAGUUCGGAUUGAAGUCUGCAACUUGACUUCAUGAAGUUGGAAUCGCUAGUAAUCGCGGAUCAGCAACGCCGCGGUGAAUAUGUUCCUGAGCCUUGUACACACCGCCCGUCAAGUCAUC
Molecule: ribosomal RNA, 1275 nt
Filed under: metagenome
Description: bacterial SSU rRNA
Rfam family: Bacterial small subunit ribosomal RNA
Source: RNAcentral